GCCCUUCCUGACGGCGGAGGAUACUCGCCCUACAAGGAGGAACUCGGACGCGUCAAGAUCCAAGUGUACCGAGGACCCAACAAGGAGAAGAUCGGAUAUGACUACUUCGCUCCGUGGGGCUUCUACUUCACGCAGCCCGAAGACUACAAACCAUAUGGCUACCACUGAGGCGAUUCAGCUCUCCAAUCGACGACGAGACUCCUUGAUGUACAGACUGCCAGGACUUCGAUCAAGAAACGCGUGAUCAGGAGCCUCCAGGAAACCUCCCCAGUGACCUUGGCUCCUUGCUGCACCGACCUAAAUUGUCUCCGUUCUGAAGAUCAAUUAUUCUGGAAAUAUGCAAAACGGGAACAAUUGGGUUUCAUGUUGAUUUCUACUUUGAAUUCACUUUCGGUGCGAUUAGAUUAUGUUUUAGUAUUAGAAAGAUUUUGUUUUUUUAAUCAGAACUGUAUGGCCGAACAGACAAGACACGCGUGACUAUUUAUUUCGCCUAAUUUAAGCACACUUGUCUCAUUUGUAUCAUAAGUGUUAUGUUUUAUCUUUGUUAUAAGAGUAUAUAUGCUUUUUGGAUAUACUUCCGUUGCCUUUUGUAAUAAAAUUUUAAAAAUUA
Penaeus vannamei (Pacific white shrimp) is the source of this 610-nucleotide non-coding RNA. Lineage: Eukaryota; Metazoa; Arthropoda; Malacostraca; Decapoda; Penaeidae. The record is from RefSeq and is a predicted model, not a curated record.